Molecule: ribosomal RNA, 549 nt
Filed under: uncultured Glomeromycotina
Lineage: Eukaryota; Fungi; Glomeromycota
Description: SSU rRNA
Rfam family: Eukaryotic small subunit ribosomal RNA
Source: RNAcentral
UUGGAGGGCAAGUCUGGUGCCAGCAGCCGCGGUAAUUCCAGCUCCAAUAGCGUAUAUUAAAGUUGUUGCAGUUAAAAAGCUCGUAGUUGAAUUUCGGGAUCAAUUUAUUGGUCGUGCCAACGGUACGCACUGGUACAAUUGGUUUCUCCCUUCUGACGAAGCAUGAUGUCAUUAAUUUGAUGUCGUGGGGAAUCAGGACUGUUACUUUGAAAAAAUUAGAGUGUUUAAAGCAGGCUUUGGCUUGAAUACAUUAGCAUGGAAUAAUGAAAUAGGACGUUUGAUCUUAUUUCGUUGGUUUCUAAGAUCGACGUAAUGAUUAAUAGGGAUAGUUGGGGGCAUUAGCAUUCAAUUGUCAGAGGUGAAAUUCUUGGAUUUAUUGAAGACUAACUACUGCGAAAGCAUUUGCCAAGGAUGUUUUCAUUAAUCAAGAACGAAAGUUAGGGGAUCGAAGACGAUCAGAUACCGUCGUAGUCUUAACCAUAAACUAUGCCGACUAGGGAUCGGAUGAUGUUAAUUUUUUAAUGACUCAUUCGGCGCCUUACGGGAAAC